Ruditapes philippinarum (Manila clam) is the source of this 6836-nucleotide long non-coding RNA. RefSeq lists it as uncharacterized. The transcript has 2 exons. NCBI's taxonomy places the organism in Eukaryota, Metazoa, Mollusca, Bivalvia, Venerida, Veneridae. The record is from RefSeq and is a predicted model, not a curated record.
GUGUACUCCUUCUUCCAAAAAAUUGGCAGAUUCACAAGAGACUUCAAUUAAUCCAAGAACUGGCAUUUAUGAGGAAUUUUCUGUGGUUAUGAUACGAAUACAAUCAUCCUCAACCAACAUAAUGAGUCACAUCGCAUUCAUGAAAUUUUGCAUGUAUACAAAUACUGAAGUCACCUAGUGUAAUGACGUCCACCAACUUGUUGAAGAUACUGGUAAAAUAUAUAAUAGUUGAUAUUAACAUUUCUCUUCAAAACUCAAGACUCAAAUGAGUACCUGACACUUAGUUAUUGCCAGAGAGUUGCAGUCAUUGUAUUGUUUAAAACUUGGAUAUACAACUCAGACAAUUCAAGGCAUGAAAAUAGCCUACUCGUGCAAUAUUGCAUUAUAUUAACUCUCAGGAAAAUUUAUUUAGUGAAUGUAUACAUAGAUAUUUGUAUAGAAUUUUUACUGUAUAGUAUGUGCAUUAUUUAUAUCCAUGUUUAAUAUGUAAACAUACAUUUAUGUAAUAUAGAACUGCUAGUCAAUAUUUGUACAAAAAUACUUUCAAGAAGAAACAUUAUGUCCAACCAAGUGUAUGAAAUAGGUUGGUGAGUGAGUUUUAUUUUAAAAGAUAUACGGUCAUUUCAGCUCAAAUUGACAAUGAAAAAAUUAUGUCACUUAAAAAAUGUACAUGAAUGUCCACUUAAAUAUGAUAAAUUAUAAUUUUGCGUUAUCUUUGAAAUCAUAGUAAAUGCUUAUCAGUUGUUAAUGAAAUAAAUCACUGUUAUAAUUACAAAUAACAUAUAGCAGUAUAUAAUUUUUUAAGACAAAGUGAAUUAAGAUUUAUUUUCAUUCAUAUGUUGAAGUUUUUAAUAUAGAUCUGUGACUAGUAUUAUACAACAGCUUAUCAAGUUGUGUUUCUAUUCAAAGUUACAAAAGUAUUGUUUUCUAAUAUGUUUUUGCUCACCUUUUAUUUUUUAGAAAAAAGAGGUACUGUUACAGUCAUGUAGGCGUUGUCGUCCGCAAACUUGUACCUUGAUCAGAACUUUUAAAUUUCUUAGUGUAUUGUCUUCAGGGCUACAGAUAGCAUUUUGUUUAUAUAUAUCGGGUGAUUACCCCUAGUUUUGUGAUCUAUUGGGUUUUUUAUAUUUUUAACCAGGUUUUCAAUUUUGAAAAUCCUGGUUAUUAGAUUGGGGUAUGGCGGGCGGAUGGGCGGAUGGGCGGAUGGGCGGCUGGGCGGAUGGGCGGCUGGGCGGAUGGGCGGGCGGGCGUCAAACGAAAUUGUGUCCGCUCUGUAACUCUUCAACCCUUUGAAGAAUUUUGAUGAAACUUCAGACAAAUGUUUACCACAUCAAGAUGACGUGCAGAACGCAUGUUCCGCAUGGCUGGCUCCAAGGUCAAGGUCACAGUGACAUUAACAUUGAAAAUCCUGUCCGCUCUGUAACUCUUCAACCCUUUGAAGAAUUUUGAUGAAACUUCAGACAAAUGUUUACCACAUCAAGAUGACGUGCAGAACGCAUGUUCCGCAUGGCUGGCUCCAAGGUCAAGGUCACAGUGACAUUAACAUUGAAAAUCCUGUCCGCUCUGUAACUCUUCAACCCUUUGAAGAAUUUUGAUGAAACUUCAGACAAAUGUUUACCACAUCAAGAUGACGUGCAGAACGCAUGUUCCGCAUGGCUGGCUCCAAGGUCAAGGUCACAGUGACAUUAACAUUGAAAAUCCUGUUUACAUGAUUUUAACUUGAUUUGGCAGUCAAAGGUCAUAUCAUCUUUGGAGGUAAUUUAAAAAAGAUAUGAUAUAUUAUUUCAUGUCUACUUUGUAACUUGUUUUUCAUUAUACAGAAUUAUCAAUAUAAUUAUAGUGAACAAAUUCUUCUGUGCUGAACUCGUCCUACAUUUCUCAACGGAUUUUGUUCAAACUUUCACAGAAGCUUUGUCAUCAAGCACCCUGGCACAUAUUGUCGGGGUUUUGUGAUUGGAUAGUUUUUGACCUAAUUAUGGCCCUUUGUUUUUUUCCUUAUACAUAAUAUUAUAGUGAACACUUCUUCAGUGGCAAUUCCUCCUACAUUAUUCAUGUUUUACAUUGCACAUAGUUACAUUGUUUGUUGCUUGUAUUUGUAUUUCAAAUACAACAUAUUUAUCUACAAUGGUGAUAAUUGAAAACCUGGUUUCAUGGCAUUGCCAUGUUUCUUGUCUUAGAGUUAUUUCUGUAUUUUUUACCCUACCAUCUCUAACCAAUUUGGGUUUUAAACCACAAGUUCAUGUAUUUUACCCAAAAUUUCUGACCUUCAUUGUAGACUGUUGUAGGUUUGUAUGGUAAUAAAAAAGCUACUUACUACUAUGCUUUAUGGUUUAUUGGCCCAGGAGAUUUCCAAGCUGCCUGAUAUGAUUUAAAGGUUAAAACAGUCUGAAACAGUAUGAUCUGCCUGAUGUACAGCAUUAAGUAUAACUUCCGUCUUUUCCCACCAGUUCCAAUGUAGUUAUAAAUAAAAAAUUAUUUACUUUUUCUUACCCUUAGGUAUUAUUUCUAUUGCUUUUUUUGACAUUUUAAUUGGGUAAUUACGCAAAUACGCAUGUUAUCUGCAGCUCUGGACUGACUCUUCAUACUUGGCCACAACACCUCUAGAUACACAACCUUUCAGUAGACUAGACUUACCUUGACCUUUGUUCAUAAAUGACAUUGACCUUCAAGGUCAAAUGUAAAAAAAGUUGCUUGUUUCUUGCUAUAAGCUGGUGGCUAUAACUUCAAACUUGAACAUAAUAAUCUUUUAAGAUAGCCCUUUCAGUUAACCAGACAUACUUUGACCUUCACUCGUGAAUGACCUAGACUUUGAAGGGCAAAUUAAUUAUUUAUUGCUGUAACUGACUGCAACUUUGUUAAUAUUGAAAUGAUUGACUUCAUAUUAUUAUUACUAAACAUUCUUUAGGAUAAGACCUUUCAAACUCAAAUUAACCUUGGCUCUUUAAUAACAUUGGCCUUGAAGGCUAACUGAUUUUUGCUAUAAUUUUAUGUUACAAUGUACUAUGUAAUUAAUCCACAGAUUUUUAGAUUAUUAAAUUAAAUAAUUUACAUAUGGCCUUGACCUUUAGGUAACCUUGGCUGUCAAAUGAUUGAUUGAUUGAAUGAUUGACUUUUGAUUAUAUUUUCUUAACAUUGUCGUUUAUUAAUGGAAAAGAUUCAUACUAAGCUAACUAGACAGACCUAUAAAAUAUAUAAAAAGGAAAUUACACUAAACUUCUUUUUUUAAGACUCAAGAGAAGUUUAAGCCGUUUAUUUUGUUUGCUUUUAGAAACAGAAAUGAGCUGGGGCACUUUAGACAGAAAUAUAUGCAAAGAUAGUUAAGAAAUAUAUUUUGAAAUAAUUUAAAAUCGUAUUUUUCUUAGUCCGUUUGGAGUGAAAAGCGUUUAAACGCUUUUCAUGUUGGGUCAUUUAUUUACAAUGUGAAUAAUUAUUCUGGAAAAACGAAGUGGGCGAUUGAUCUGAAAUUUUGCAAAAAGAUUAGAGGUCUAAACCUACAUCAAAUGGUACAUUUAUAUGGAAAAGAAUUUCAGUCCAAUCAUAUUAAAAAAACCUCAGUGGAGUCCCUUUAAUGUUUUUGUAGAAUGUAUGUAUAAUAUUUAUAUUUGUGGGCAUAGUUUAAUGCAAGAUUUGUAUUUGUGUACAUAGACAAAUGUAAUAUUUGUAUUUGUGUAUUUAAUUUUAAUAAGAUUUAUAUUUGUGUACAUAUUAUUUACUAUAUUGUAUAAGAUUUGUGUUGUGUACAUAAUGAUUUAUAGAAGAUUUGUAUUUGUUUGCUUUAUUUUCUUUAAGAUUUGUAUUUGUGUACAUAUUAUUUGCUAUAUUGUAUAACAUUUGUGUUGUGUACAUAAUGAUUUAUAGAAGAUUUGUAUUUGUUUUCUUUAUUUUAUUUAAUAUUUUUAUUUGUGUUCAUAUUAUUUACUACAUUGUAUAAGAUUUGUAUUGUGUACAUGCUUUGCAGGAGGUUUGUUUUUUGUGUGGUCGAUUUUCUAUAAAAUGUAUAUUUGUGUAAAUAGCUUACUAUUUGAUUACCAUUAGUAUUUUCUAUAUUAUUUACUAUCAGACAGGGACUUUGAGUUCUUACAUGUAAGGAAGCUAUCCAGCUAGCUUAUGAAAUGCCGGUGAUUCUACUCAGGUGCCUAUUUGUGCCUGAUACAAUUAGCAAAAGGGCACCUGAGUUCUUCCUCUUCCAGUAAGACUGGACAUAUACUGAGUUGGUGUGCCGUAAAACCCAAACAAACAAACAAACAAACACUUUUUACUAUAAAACUUUUAUAUUUAUGUCCAUGAUUUUACAUUUACUCUCAGUUUUGUAUUUGUUUACGUGACUAUCUAUAAUAUUUAUAUGUGCGAAUAAGAUUUUCUACAUGAAUAUGAUUCCUAUAUUUGUGUACAUGAUUUACUUUAGGAUUUGCAUUUGUCUAUAAUUAUUAUUUACUGUACAUAUUUUACCAUGAAAGUGAAAGGUCAUGAGAUUUUACCAUGAAAGUGAAAGGUCAUGUAAAUUAUAAGGAGAAUUGCUGCUAUAUUAACCAUUUAAAAUAUGUAGUUACUUAUAUGAUGUUUUAACGUUUUACACCUUAACCUGCGCUCAAACAUAGUUGACAGAACCUUAUGGAACUCAGUAAGAACAAUCUUUGUGUGGACCAUAUGAAAUUAAUUGUUUUGGUCUGUUUAACAUUAUAUAAAAUAUAUUUAAACUUUCAAUCGAUUUUUGUGCACCCACAAUUUAGAUUUACCCUUGUCCGUCCGUCCUUCCGUCCGUCUGUUCACUUUUGUGUUGCACGUAACUCAAAAAGUGUUUGACCUAGAGUCAUGAAACUUACAGGAAUGUUGAUCAGCAUGUGUAGUUGUGCACCUGACUAUUUUCGUCUGGAUAGUAUUAGUAUUUUCAGAGUAAUUGCCCUUGACUUAGUAAAAUUUUGUAUUUUUCAACUUGUGUCACAUGUUUCUCAAAAAGGAUUUGACAUAGAGUCAUGAAACUUAACAGGAAUGUUGAUCAGCAUAUGUAGUUGUGCACCUGGGUAUUUUUGUCUGGAUUCAUUAAGUAUUUUUAGAGUUAUUGCCCUUGAUUUAGAAAAGUUUUGCAAUUUUCAACUUGUGUCGUAUGAUACUCGAAAAGUAUUUGACAUAGAGUCAUUAAACCUUAUGGGAAGGUUGCACAUUAUAUUUAGUUUUGCACCUGGGGUUUUGCUUGUGGAUUUAUCCAGUAUUUGUAGAGUUAUUGCCCUUGACUUAGUAAAAUUUUGCAAUUUUCAACUUGUGUCGCAUGUAACUCAAAAAAUAUUUGACCUAGAGUCAUGAAACUUGACAGGAAUGUUGAUCAGCAUGUGUUGUUGUGCACCUGAGCAUUUUCGUCUGGAUAUUACGGGAAGGUUGUACAUUAUAUUAAGUUUUGCACCUGGGGUUUUGCUUGUGGAUUUAUCCAGUAUUUGUAGAGUUAUUACCCUUGACUUAGUAAAAACCGUUUCAUUAUGUUGUACUUAUGCACCUUGGGGUUUGCACGUGGAUUUAUUCAGUAUUUGUAAAGUUCUUGUCCUUUAAUUAGUAAAAGAUUUUUAGUUUUCAAAAGAUAUUUGCUCUUGAGUCAUAAGAUUGACAGAACAGUGGCGCGGUGGGGGCACCCGUGCCCUAUGGACACAUUUCUAGUUAUAUUAAUACCGUACAUUUUACCACGAAAAAUAGUAUGUAAUAUAAACUUUCCUGUAAUAAUCCUCCUUAAAAAUGUGUAAUAAUUCUCUGAAAUGAUAAAAACAAUAUGUUGUGUUUGUCAUACUAAAGUUAAAUUAUGUUUCCCAAAUUUUUUGGAAGUCAUAUUGUUUUUGCCAACGCCAUGUGUCUGUCCGUCCGCAUUAAGCUCGUCCGGCCUUCACAGGUCAGACUACUUGUGGGAUUUCAACCAAACUUUACAGGAGUGAUUAGUACCAUCAUAUAGCUUUGGAUAGAAAAACCUUGUCCGGCUUUCACAGUUCAAGCUACUAAUGGGAUUCAAAUAAAACUUCACAUACUGAUCAUACAUAGUUUUGGGUGACAUAUGUUUUUGUGACAAAAACCCUUCUAGUUUUAAUUAAACUCAUUAGGAAUAAUUAUUGGACAUCGUAUACGAAAUAAUUAAAAACAAGAUUGCUGCAUUAGUUAAAUAAUGAUAAGAACAUCUUCCAGUUGGCAUAGCUUGUUUUACCAUUUGGUAGUUUAAUGAACUUUAAUAGGAAAUAUCAUUGAAGAUUUAUUUAUAACAAAUAGCUAGACUCCUUUUGUUCUGCUAAAUGAUGAAAAAUCCGGCAAACUGAAAAGUUCUAUCGUUUAUACAACAUUUGGUAAUUAACAAUUGCACAGACUUUGAUAUAACUAAAGAGAAUACUUUUCUUUUGUUAUUUUAACAUAAAUAAAUGGUUUGAAAUGGAUCAUGUUGUCUACCAGACCUUAAAGUACAACAUUGUUUCCCAAAUGAUUGAAAUCACUUAGAAGUUUUCGUUGAGACUAGAAACAAAAAUGAUUCUUGGAAUGUAUUGUACAAAACAGGUUAUUAUUUGUACUUUUGUUCAAAACAGUUAGCAAAUGUAUUGUACAAAAACAGUAAACAAGUGUACUGUCUGCUGAGGGAAAGUACUUUCCUCUUGAGUGGGUGACUCGGGUUGGAAAUUAAUUAUUGAACUAUUAUUGUAUUGUUGCUGGAGUAAAAAAUGAUUUUUUUUUUCCUUGACAUAAGAUAUCCAAAUUUUAUUGUAUUUUAUUAUUAUCAUAAUUAUUAUGAAUAAAGACAUAUGAUUUUGUAUGUUUGCAUAAUGAUUGUUUUAAGAAAUUAUAUGUAAUAAAUCAAUAAAUCAGUGUUGACACAA